AGCGUAGGUGGCCUAACAUGUCAACUGUGAAAACCCGGAGCUCAACUCCGGACUUGCAGUUGAAACUGGUAGGCUUGAGGACGGUAGAGGAAAACGGAACUGCCAGUGUAGGGGUAAAAUCCUUAGAUAUUGGCAGGAACGCCGGUGACGAAGGUGGUUUUCUGGGCCGGUUCUGACACUGAUGCUCGAAAGCCAGGGGAGCGAAC
This 206-nucleotide ribosomal RNA is filed under the name uncultured Mesotoga sp. Its description in RNAcentral is "partial 16S ribosomal RNA". It matches the Rfam family "Bacterial small subunit ribosomal RNA", at positions 568 to 773 of the family's 1533-position model. The record is from RNAcentral. Lineage: Bacteria; Thermotogati; Thermotogota; Thermotogae; Kosmotogales; Kosmotogaceae.